This 254-nucleotide ribosomal RNA is filed under the name uncultured bacterium. RNAcentral's name for it is "partial 16S ribosomal RNA". It matches the Rfam family "Bacterial small subunit ribosomal RNA", at positions 524 to 776 of the family's 1533-position model. The record is from RNAcentral.
UACGUAGGGUGCAAGCGUUAUCCGGAAUUAUUGGGCGUAAAGAGCUCGUAGGCGGUUUGUCGCGUCUGCCGUGAAAGUCCGGGGCUCAACUCCGGAUCUGCGGUGGGUACGGGCAGACUAGAGUGCAGUAGGGGAGACUGGAAUUCCUGGUGUAGCGGUGAAAUGCGCAGAUAUCAGGAGGAACACCGGUGGCGAAGGCAGCUUACUAUGGUAUGAUUGACGCUGAGGCACGAAAAGCGUGGGGAUCAAACAGG